UUUCAAGAUCAUAAUUUUGAAAUUUAUGAAUGGAAUUCGAUUAUAUCAACAUUCUAUAAUUGCAUGCAUGCAAUUAUGCACACUUUUUUACUAUCUAACUAGGAAUUGAUGAGCUAUAGGACCCUUAUCGUUAUUGGAAGGUUCAGAUUAAUUUAUUAAACUGUUGACGCUAAUAAACUGGUUCAGCAGUAUGUGUACAAAUAUAAAAUAUAUGUUUUGUCGUAUUUGGGUCAAUAGCACCAAAAUAAACACGCAGGGAUGACAUUGACUUUAGUAUCAUGCAUCAUAAUGGUAAUGCAUCCAUCAGACAGCUUAAAUAAUCUACUGAUUAGAAUCUUCAUAGCGUACGAUGAAUUACUUACAUUGUGUGGUCUAAAUUAAUUGGAUGCCAAGUGAAGAUAAAAAGACAAAUAAAUUGGCAUUACUUUUGUUUCAAGUUUGUGCGUAUUUAUUUAUACUUUAUUGUGUGUGCAGAGAUUGCUAGAAAACUCAAGUCUCACCUAGCUUCUCAAAGUAAUUGGACACUCUGGAAGACAUUAUUUUCAAUAAUUACUGAACAUUAAUGUUGUCUUUCAUAUAAAAUUAUUAUUGAAGGUGUAAUUGCAGUUUUAGUUGCAACGUGACCAGAAUAAAAUUAUUGUUUUCCAGCGCAAGAUCUAGCUGCAGGCAUAGCACGCCAAACUGAAAAAUAAUGUACAAUCAAGUUCUGUUAGAUGCGAUUAGGACUAAAAAAAAGUUAAUAAACAGAUUUGUAUUGAA
Molecule: long non-coding RNA, 759 nt
Organism: Folsomia candida
Lineage: Eukaryota; Metazoa; Arthropoda; Collembola; Entomobryomorpha; Isotomidae
Exons: 2
Source: RefSeq, a predicted model, not a curated record